RNAcentral lists this long non-coding RNA (942 nucleotides) under Homo sapiens (human). Its description in RNAcentral is "MIR181A1 host gene". The record is from RNAcentral. Lineage: Eukaryota; Metazoa; Chordata; Mammalia; Primates; Hominidae.
GGUCUGUAUGCUCCCCUAGAGGUUUGAGCAGCUGGGCAAUGAAGAGGUGAGCUACAACUCCCAGUGCACACCCUGCGAGGGGGACAAGGGAACUUUUCCUGUUUUAGAAAUACCAAAGCACAAUCAACCCAUCAAACGAAAAAAACAACAACAGCCUAAAAGACAAGGUUGAUGUGGAGGAGAAAAAAAAGGUCUCGCUCUGCCACCCAGGCUAGGAGUGCAGUAGAGUGACUACAGUUCACAGCAGACUCAACCUUCCAGGCUCAAGCAAUCCUCUCACCUCGGCCUCCCAAGUACCUGGGACUACAGGCACACUCCACCAUUCCCAGCUAAUUUUUGUAUUUUUUGUAGAGACAUGGUUUUGACAUAUUGUCCAGGCUGGUCUUUUACUGUCAAAUUGCUAUAUUUUAUUGCUUUUGUUUUUGAAUAUUUUUGAUCCAUGAUUGAGUCCAUGAACAUGGAACCUGUGGACAUGGAGGCCCAACAAUAGUACUUAAUGUCUUUCUAACACAGCUACCUUAUGAACUCUGGAAAAAAUUGUAUGCCAGCCAAAGCAGUGGAACAACCAUAUUCUACUCACUGGAUUGUCCUCAACUGUUCAACAAUACCUCCCAAACUUGUUCCUGACUUCCGCCCAACAUGCAAUGACUCCAUUCUCAUUGUGCUCUUACCUGUUUCACUUAGUUGGAUUAUUUCUGUUCAAAAAUAUGUUUGAUUUUUAAAACUCAGGCUUUCACAGCUUUUAAAAGUUGUAUAAACCACUGUAUUUGUUUGAUAGAUGUGGGUGAAUUUGGCUUCCUACAAAGCAAUAACAAAUCAUCCACAUAGGAAAGUUACCAUUUCUGCAGAUGGAAAAAUGUGUACCUUGCUUCUCAUAUCAUUGUUUUCAUUUUGCAAGAUAUGAAUUUCUUGAAUAGUGGUAUCACCUACAAUUACUUAAAA